Long non-coding RNA from Pundamilia nyererei, 393 nucleotides. RefSeq lists it as uncharacterized. NCBI's taxonomy places the organism in Eukaryota, Metazoa, Chordata, Actinopteri, Cichliformes, Cichlidae. The transcript is spliced from 3 exons. The record is from RefSeq and is a predicted model, not a curated record.
CCUCUAAUAUAAAGAGCAGUGUUUGAUACCACAGAAGGGAAAUAGUGAAAGGCAUCACAGGAAGCUGUUGAAUUUCUUCACUAUCUAAAGAUGUUGACGAUCACUCUGUGUUUGUCAUUCGGUGUGUUUCUGUGGGGAUUUGCUUCAUGCUCUAUCGCAUGUCCUGAUGCCAUGUGCUGCGCCGACCUGCUCCACUGCUGCCCUUCAGGAUAUCGCUGUAACCUGGUUACCAUGAAUUGUGAGAAAUUAGACCAGCCGUGGCUGACCAUACCCAUGGUGAAGAAGGAGGCUGCGGAGAAACGAACCCCCCCUGAACUGCCUGGAACUCCACUCCAGGAGCUUAAAGAGAGCCACGUCCCAGAUCAAAUAAAGAAAUCAAUGGUCUACUGUGAC